RNAcentral lists this ribosomal RNA (469 nucleotides) under uncultured bacterium. Its description in RNAcentral is "bacterial SSU rRNA". It matches the Rfam family "Bacterial small subunit ribosomal RNA", at positions 9 to 468 of the family's 1533-position model. The record is from RNAcentral.
GAGUUUGAUCAUGGCUCAGGAUGAACGCUAGCGACAGGCCUAACACAUGCAAGUCGAGGGGCAGCGGGGAGGUAGCAAUACCUUUGCCGGCGACCGGCGCACGGGUGAGUAACACGUAUGCAAUCCACCUGUAACAGGGGGAUAACCCGGAGAAAUCCGGACUAAUACCCCAUAAUAUGGGCGCUCCGCAUGGAGAGUCCAUUAAAGAGAGCAAUCUUGGUUACAGACGAGCAUGCGCUCCAUUAGCCAGUUGGCGGGUAACGGCCCACCAAGGCGACGAUGGAUAGGGGUUCUGAGAGGAAGGUCCCCCCAAUUGGAACUGAGACACGGUCCAAACUCCUACGGGAGCAGCAGUGAGGAAUAUUGGUCAAUGGUCGGCAGACUGAACCAGCCAAGUCGCGUGAGGGAAGACGGCCCUACGGGUUUAAACCUCUUUUGUCGGAGAGUAAAGUGCGCUACGCGUAGCGUA